AUGCUUGCGAAAGCACGCUCAGAACAACCGAAGAAGCUCCAUGGCGGCGAGCGUGGCGGCGGCACCGGAAAUGCAGACGACGCGGCCAUACCCAUACGGCUCGCCGGCGGCGCUGCGUCCGUUGGACCCCGCUGUACUCCCUCUGCCGCCGGUGCUCCCAGGCACGUAACCACCUCUGGCUCCAGGUACGUAACUUCCUCCCCCGCCGCUACCCCCUCUCGGGGCACUGCCUCUGCCUCCCCCGCCUGUUCUUCCUCCGCCGCUGCUGCCUCCCCCGCCUGUCCUUCCUCCGCCGCUGCUGCCUCCUCCUCCUCUCGCACCACCGCCGCCACCGCCACCACCGCCACCGGCGCUCCACCCUGCUUGGAACUGCGAGGCCACACAGAGCAGCACCACCAUCAUGGCGCAGAGCAGCCUCGCCUGGCCUCUUCCCAUGGCCAUCUCCCUCUCGCCCAGCAAGCUUCCCGUCGUACGUUGGGCAGAUGA
RNAcentral lists this ribosomal RNA (486 nucleotides) under Triticum aestivum (bread wheat). RNAcentral describes it as "partial small subunit ribosomal RNA". The record is from RNAcentral. Lineage: Eukaryota; Viridiplantae; Streptophyta; Magnoliopsida; Poales; Poaceae.